ACGAACGCUGGCGGCGUGCUUCACACAUGCAAGUCGCACGGAAAGGCCCUGCUUUUGUGGGGUGCUCGAGUGGCGAACGGGUGAGUAACACGUGAGUAACCUGCCCUUGACUUUGGGAUAACUUCAGGAAACUGGGGCUAAUACCGGAUAGGAGCUCCUGCUGCAUGGUGGGGGUUGGAAAGUUUCGGCGGUUGGGGAUGGACUCGCGGCUUAUCAGCUUGUUGGUGGGGUAGUGGCUUACCAAGGCUUUGACGGGUAGCCGGCCUGAGAGGGUGACCGGCCACAUUGGGACUGAGAUACGGCCCAGACUCCUACGGGAGGCAGCAGUGGGGAAUAUUGCACAAUGGGCGGAAGCCUGAUGCAGCAACGCCGCGUGCGGGAUGACGGCCUUCGGGUUGGAAACCGCUUUCGCCUGUGACGAAGCGUGAGUGACGGUAAUGGGGAAAGAAGCACCGGCUAACUACGU
RNAcentral lists this ribosomal RNA (466 nucleotides) under uncultured bacterium. RNAcentral describes it as "partial 16S ribosomal RNA". It matches the Rfam family "Bacterial small subunit ribosomal RNA", at positions 29 to 506 of the family's 1533-position model. The record is from RNAcentral.